CCUACGGGAGGCUGCAGUGAGGAAUAUUGGUCAAUGGGCGUAAGCCUGAACCAGCCAAGUCGCGUGAGGGAUGAAGGUUCUAUGGAUCGUAAACCUCUUUUAUCAGGGAAUAAAGUGCGGGACGUGUCCCGUUUUGUAUGUACCUUAUGAAUAAGGAUCGGCUAACUCCGUGCCAGCAGCCGCGGUAAUACGGAGGAUCCGAGCGUUAUCCGGAUUUAUUGGGUUUAAAGGGUGCGUAGGCGGCCUUUUACGUCAGCGGUGAAAGUCUGUGGCUCAACCAUAGAAGUGCCGUUGAAACUGGGAGGCUUGAGUAUGUGAGAGGCAGGCGGAAUGCGUGGUGUAGCGGUGAAAUGCUUAGAUAUCGCGCAGAACCCCGAUUGCGAAGGCAGCAUGCCAAGCCAUGACUGACGCUGAGGCACGAAAGCGUGGGGAUCGAACAGGAUUAGAUACCCUUGUAGUC
RNAcentral lists this ribosomal RNA (460 nucleotides) under uncultured bacterium. RNAcentral describes it as "partial 16S ribosomal RNA". It matches the Rfam family "Bacterial small subunit ribosomal RNA", at positions 338 to 795 of the family's 1533-position model. The record is from RNAcentral.